This 127-nucleotide ribosomal RNA is filed under the name Nocardioidaceae bacterium. Its description in RNAcentral is "partial 16S ribosomal RNA". It matches the Rfam family "Bacterial small subunit ribosomal RNA", at positions 1 to 126 of the family's 1533-position model. The record is from RNAcentral. Lineage: Bacteria; Bacillati; Actinomycetota; Actinomycetes; Propionibacteriales; Nocardioidaceae.
UUUCAACGGAGAGUUUGAUCCUGGCUCAGGACGAACGCUGGCGGCGUGCUUAACACAUGCAAGUCGAGCGGUAAGGCUCCUUCGGGAGUACACGAGCGGCGAACGGGUGAGUAACACGUGAGCAAUC